UGUGGGAGCGGGCUUGCUCGCGAUGCAGGCGCCGCGGUCUGCCGGGCUGACCGUGUCGAAGCCAUCGCGAGCAAGCCCGCUUCCACA
RNAcentral lists this unclassified non-coding RNA (87 nucleotides) under Pseudomonas fragi. Lineage: Bacteria; Pseudomonadati; Pseudomonadota; Gammaproteobacteria; Pseudomonadales; Pseudomonadaceae. The record is from RNAcentral.